AACCCUUGUUAAUUAAUUGCGUCCUGCCCUGAAAAGUAAACCGUGAGCAAAUGGGGAUGGAUGUUACGGUGGUAAUGACCAGCAAUUAUUUUUUCCAGGGAAACGUUGAGAGGCACCUGAGCAACUUUGGCACGGGGUGUAUAUUUUGAAGUAAUGACUGAUGAAAGAGGAGGAGUAUCAGUGCAUUUCAAGGAGCAAAGUGUGAAGGAUUUUCAGCCUGAUCUCAGGAAGUGCUACAACAGGGACAUGACAGAGACCUGGUGUUCUCCUGGCCCAGAUUCCUCAUCUGAAUGUAACCAGUGGGCUGUGCACUAGUAAAGUAUUACUAUCUUCCUUAGCAGGCAGUAUGAGUGCAGUUUUUCUACUUACCCAUGUGGGACAAAGGCUGCAAAAAUUCAACUUGUCAUCAAGGCAGAAGGUAAGUGGUUAAUCUUAAAAGUCUUUCAUAAAAGUGGAAAGAGGAAGGAUAACCGGGAUAGACAAAAUUUUGUUGGUCAGUGUCAGUGGCCUUUUUUGAGGUUUGCAAGGGUGCCACUGAAUGCUCUCUCAGGCUCUUGUUAGCUGUUAACCAGCUCAUGAUUAGGAAAUCUUAUUUUUUUGGAGAAAUGUGAAGUAAGAUUGAAAUGCACAAAAGGUGGUCAGGUGGACAGUGUCUAUAUUUUCAUUUUGGUGAAACAUGAUGGGGAGAAGCCUGGGCAAGUGAUUUGAGGUAUGGUGGGACCAAAGCCAUCAGCUUUUCAAACAACAUGGUGCCUCUGCCGUGCUGCACUGAGGACUAGGAAGAGAAAAUGCCCUUGUCUGGUUGAGGCUGAGAACUGAACUUUGUGAAGCAGAACAUCAUUUAAGACGCCCACAGGGCCAGAGAUUUGGCUUCUUUUGUCAGACAGAAGGAAGCUGGAAAACAACAUUAAGUAAUCCCUAGGGGAGAAUGUGAACAGGGAUGAUAUUUAAACAUGCUUGUAAAGGAGCAAAUGGUUUUAAGUAGGACAUGAGUGGAUUUAGCUACAAAUUAAACAACAAUUGUGUCUUCUGGCCAGCAGUGAGGGCAAAGAGUCUAAAUUGAUAAGAAGACAGAGCUGGGCAAAGAUGUUGGCUGAACAGGGCAAUCUUGUGUCAGUGCUCAAGAUUCUGAUGACCCCAGAAACCUCUUUCAGGCCCAGGUUUCUGUUAGCAAGCUGAGAAUAAAACUGAUGCAAAAAAACUUGGCA
Molecule: long non-coding RNA, 1208 nt
Filed under: Phasianus colchicus (ring-necked pheasant)
Lineage: Eukaryota; Metazoa; Chordata; Aves; Galliformes; Phasianidae
Description: lncRNA (ENSPCLG00000020950.1)
Source: RNAcentral